GGCAGUUAGACAUUUCAUUUGGCAAGACCUUGCUUUGUUAGAAAGCAUUUUUUGGGCUGUUUGACAAGUAAGCCUUUAGGUAGUCAACAACUCAGUUUGAAAGACACGCUUUUGGGCAGUGAGACAAGUAAGCAUAUAGGUAUGCAAGAACUCACUUUGAAAGACUCGUUUUGGGAAGUUAGAUGUAGCCCUACUAGGUUGCGCGUUUAAUUUUGAAGGUUUAAAUAAAGCUUCAUUAAUGGGAGUCCUAGUUUGGUUGAAGCCCUACUACUAUUUGUUGGGACAAGUGCAACCUACACGUUGUGCUAGUUUUGCACGCACUGUGAGUCGAUUGGGGGGUUCAGUUUGGUGCCGAACCAAUGAGAGAACUGGAGGGAUGGAACGAAUGGGAAAAGUUUCGAGACUUUUCUAGAAGGGUCGGAGAGAGAGGAGAGCGUGAGAUGGAGGUGUUCGAAAGAGCGCUCCAGAGUGUCAGGAGGCGAUAUUUUUCUGGUUGCUGGACGAGUAACCAGAGAGAAAAUAUCACUUCUCUGCAUUUGGAUUGUGUUGGCGAGUUUUUAGUUUCUGUGGUGUCCUCGUGGUCCGAUGAGACGUCCAGUUAAAACGACAAGUUUUCAGGCUCAGCCCGUCUCGUCGAACUACUACGCCGGUGUGACGGAGGAGGACUGAGGAGAACCCGAUAGCGCUUCGUGUUACCGGUAACGCGCGAAGUUCCUCGGGCAUCGCUGGAGUUUUCAUCCGCCCCGAACGCGAGUGGACGGGGAUAAGGGUCACGGGGAACCGGAGCCUACCCGGCAACACAGGGCGUAAGGCCGGAGGGGGAAGGGGACACACCCAGGACGGGACGCCAGUCCGCCGCAAGGCACCCCAAGCGGGACUCGAACCCCAGACCCACCGGAGAGCAGGACUGUGGUUCAACCCACUGCGCCACCGCACCCCCUAUUAUUUACAGCCUCCUCACUUUAUUCUGUUAGAUCAGGGGUGUCAAAUUCAAUUUCAUCCCGGGCCACAUCAGCAUUAUGGUUGCUCUCAUAGGGCCAGUUAUAACUGUAAGACUGUAUUAAUGUAUCUACUCUUUAUUACAUUGCAUAAUUACCUCUGCAUUCGAUUACUACUGGUUUUGGUAAUAACUCAAUUAAUACCUAGCUUUGAAAGUAGAAGCCCAGGACAAAUGAAGACAAAGUGUAUUCAAGUAUACAAUUAUUGUACAGUUUAUUUAAAAAAUAAAUGUGGUAACAAAAACACAUGCUUGUGCUGUAUGUGAGCACAUGCUCAGAUUUAUCUGUGAUAUUCUAAAUUAAAUUCAUGAAAUUAAGAAAAAAUUGUUACUUAUACAUCAAAGAAGAUUUCAUUCAUAAAAUUUAAUUUUACUGAUGGACUUCU
Molecule: long non-coding RNA, 1383 nt
Filed under: Scleropages formosus (Asian bonytongue)
Lineage: Eukaryota; Metazoa; Chordata; Actinopteri; Osteoglossiformes; Osteoglossidae
Description: lncRNA (ENSSFOG00015024489.1)
Source: RNAcentral